This 497-nucleotide ribosomal RNA is filed under the name uncultured bacterium. RNAcentral's name for it is "partial 16S ribosomal RNA". It matches the Rfam family "Bacterial small subunit ribosomal RNA", at positions 28 to 507 of the family's 1533-position model. The record is from RNAcentral.
GACGAACGCUGGCGGCGUGCCUAAUACAUGCAAGUUGAGCGCUGAAGGUUGGUACUUGUACCAACUGGAUGAGCAGCGAACGGGUGAGUAACGCGUGGGGAAUCUGCCUUUGAGCGGGGGACAACAUUUGGAAACGAAUGCUAAUACCGCAUAAAAACUUUAAACACAAGUUUUAAGUUUGAAAGAUGCAAUUGCAUCACUCAAAGAUGAUCCCGCGUUGUAUUAGCUAGUUGGUGAGGUAAAGGCUCACCAAGGCGAUGAUACAUAGCCGACCUGAGAGGGUGAUCGGCCACAUUAGGACUGAGACACGGCCCAAACUCCUACGGGAGGCAGCAGUAGGGAAUCUUCGGCAAUGGACGAAAGUCUGACCGAGCAACGCCGCGUGGGUGAAGAAGGUUUUCGGAUCGUAAAACUCUGUUGGUAGAGAAGAACGUUGGUGAGAGUGGAAAGCUCAUCAAGUGACGGUAACUACCCAGAAAGGGACGGCUAACUACGUG